RNAcentral lists this ribosomal RNA (1433 nucleotides) under uncultured prokaryote. RNAcentral describes it as "partial 16S ribosomal RNA". It matches the Rfam family "Bacterial small subunit ribosomal RNA". The record is from RNAcentral.
UGACACAUGCAAGUCGAACGGUAACAGGGACUUCGGUCUGCUGACGAGUGGCGCACGGGUGAGUAACGCGUGGAUAUCUGCCUAUUAGUGGGGGACAACUACAGGAAACUGUAGCUAAUACCGCAUAAUCUCUACGGAGGAAAGCAGGGGACCUUUCGGGGCCUUGCGCUGAUAGAUGAGUCCGCGUCUGAUUAGCUAGUUGGUAAGGUAAUGGCUUACCAAGGCGAUGAUCAGUAACUGGUUUGAGAGGAUGAUCAGUCACACUGGAACUGAGACACGGUCCAGACUCCUACGGGAGGCAGCAGUGGGGAAUAUUGCACAAUGGGGGAAACCCUGAUGCAGCGACGCCGCGUGCGGGAAGAAGGCCUUCGGGUUGUAAACCGCUUUCAAUUGGGAAGAAGAGGACUGUAACAGUAGAAGAAGCUCCGGCUAACUCCGUGCCAGCAGCCGCGGUAAUACGUAAGUGGCGAGCGUUAUCCGGAAUUACUGGGCGUAAAGCGUUCGUAGGCGGCGCAGCAAGUUGGAUUUUAAAGACCGGGGCUCAACUCCGGAAUCGGGUCCAAAACUGCAGUGCUAGAGCAAAUCAGAGGGUAGUGGAAUUCCCGGUGUAGCGGUAAUAUGCGUAGAGAUCGGGAGGAACACCAGUGGCGAAGGCGGCUACCUGGGGUUGGCUGACGCUGAGGAACGAAAGCUAGGGGAGCGAACGGGAUUAGAUACCCCGGUAGUCCUAGCUGUAAACGAUGGACACUAGGUGUAGGGAGCUUCGACCCUCUCUGCGCCGGCGCUAACGCAUUAAGUGUCCCGCCUGGGGACUACGGCCGCAAGGCUAAAACUCAAAGGAAUUGACGGGGCCCCGCACAAGCAGUGGAGCAUGUGGUUUAAUUCGAUGCUACGCGAAGAACCUUACCAGGACUUGACAUCCCUCGGACCGCUUUUAGAAAUAUUAGCUUCUCUUCGGAGCCGGGGUGACAGGUGGUGCAUGGCCGUCGUCAGCUCGUGCCGUGAGGUGUUGGAUUAAGUUCCGCAACGAGCGCAACCCUCGUUGUUAGUUGCCAUCAUUAAGUUGGGUACUCUAGCGAGACUGCCAGCGUCAAGCUGGAGGAAGGUGGGGACGACGUCAGGUCAUCAUGCCCCUUACGUCCUGGGCUACACACGUGCUACAAUGGGCGGUACAACGGGUUGCCACACCGCGAGGUGGAGCGAAUCCUCAAAACCGUUCUCAGUUCGAAUUGGAGGCUGCAACUCGCCUCCAUGAAGUUGGAAUUGCUAGUAAACGUGGAUCAGCAUGCCGCGUUGAAUACGUACCCGGGGCUUGUACACACCGCCCGUCACACCAUGGAAGUUGGUAACACCCGAAGUCCGUGCGCUAACCGCAAGGAGGCAGCGGCCGAAGGUGGGAUCAAUGACUGGGGUGAAGUCGUAACAAGGUAGCC